UUUCGAAUCAUCCACAAUGGGCGAAAGCCUGAUGGUGCGACGCCGCGUGAGGGAUGAAGGCCUUCGGGUCGUAAACCUCUGUCACCGGGGAGCAAAUGUAAGACUUAUACUCUUACUUGAGUUAACCCGGAGAGGAAGCAGUGGCAAACUCUGUGCCAGCAGCCGCGGUAAUACAGAGACUGCGAGCGUUACUCGGAUUCACUGGGCGUAAAGGGUGCGUAGGCGGCUAAAUGUGUCAGAUGUGAAAUCCCGGGGCUCAACUCCGGAACUGCGUCUGAAACUAUUUAGCUAGAGACUCGGCGAGGUAAGCGGAAUUCCAAGUGUAGCAGUGAAAUGCGUAGAUAUUUGGAGGAACACCGAAGGCGAAGGCAGCUUACUGGAAGAGAUCUGACGCUGAGGCACGAAAGCGUGGGGAGCAAAAGGGAUUAGAUACCCACGUAGUCCCUGAGCGGGCUGGCAAGGCGCAU
Molecule: ribosomal RNA, 467 nt
Filed under: uncultured bacterium
Lineage: Bacteria
Description: bacterial SSU rRNA
Rfam family: Bacterial small subunit ribosomal RNA
Source: RNAcentral